Molecule: transfer RNA, 73 nt
Filed under: Vibrio phage 70E38.1
Lineage: Duplodnaviria; Heunggongvirae; Uroviricota; Caudoviricetes; Demerecviridae
Also listed under: 8 other names
Description: tRNA-His
Rfam family: tRNA
About the family: Transfer RNA (tRNA) molecules are approximately 80 nucleotides in length.
Source: RNAcentral
GCGGCAGUAGCAUAGUGGUAAUGCCCCCGACUGUGAAUCGGGACACGAGGGUUCAAUUCCCCCUGUCGCCCCA